Sapajus apella (tufted capuchin) is the source of this 705-nucleotide RNA transcript. It is a transcript of the gene named low molecular weight phosphotyrosine protein phosphatase pseudogene, with no coding region annotated. Lineage: Eukaryota; Metazoa; Chordata; Mammalia; Primates; Cebidae. The record is from RefSeq and is a predicted model, not a curated record. The transcript has a single exon.
GGCCACUACGCGCGGGAAGAUGGCGGAGCCGGUUACCAAGUCCGUGCUGUUUGUGUGUCUGGGUAACAUUUGUCAAUCACCCAUUGCAGAAGCAGUUUUCAGGAAACUUGUAACUGAUCAAAACAUCUCAGAGAAUUGGGUCAUUGACAGUGGUGCUGUUUCUGACUGGAACGUGGGCCGGUCCCCAGACCCAAGAGCUGUGAGCUGCCUAAGAAAUCAUGGCAUUCACACAGCCCAUAAAGCAAGACAGAUUACCAAAGAAGAUUUUGCCACAUUUGAUUAUAUACUAUGUAUGGAUGAAGGCAAUCUGAGAGAUUUGAAUAGAAAAAGUAAUCAAGUUAAAACCUGCAAAGCUAAAAUUGAACUACUUGGGAGCUAUGAUCCACAAAAACAACUUAUUAUUGAAGAUCCUUAUUAUGGGAAUGACUCUGACUUUGAGGCGGUGUACCAGCAGUGUGUCAGGUGCUGCAGAGCAUUCUUGGAGAAGGCCCACUGAGGCAGGUUUGUGCCCUGCUGCAGUCAGCCUGACUAGACCCCACCCUGAGGCCCUGCGUUUCCCAGUUAGUGUGUAAUAAUGUUCCAGAGCCCAAAGCCCCAGCUCUUUGUUCAGUUGACUUAACUGUUUCUUACCUUACAAAAUAAUUCUAGGUGGAAAUCAGUGGUGAUUGGCAGAAGAAUAAAUAAAAACCUUUGAUUCAGACAGUU